Molecule: small nuclear RNA, 88 nt
Organism: Erinaceus europaeus (western European hedgehog)
Lineage: Eukaryota; Metazoa; Chordata; Mammalia; Eulipotyphla; Erinaceidae
Source: Ensembl
AUGCUCGCUUCUGCAGCACAUACACUAAAGAUUAGCAUGGCCCCUGUGUAAGGAUGACAUGCAAAUUCGUAAAAUGUUCCAAUUUAAA